UGAUGUCAGGGGCAAAAGUCUGAACCCACGACAAGCUUGCUUGAGAGUGGGUGAAAGACCUUAUGACCCGCCGGAACAUAAGGAAAAAGUGGGGUAGGGGCCCCAUGAUUUCCGAAUGUUACGUAGGAUUGUGGGAGCGCAUUGCGCGAAACAAUCCGUGACAUCA
This 166-nucleotide small RNA is filed under the name Butyrivibrio sp. YAB3001. RNAcentral describes it as "Clostridiales-1 RNA". It matches the Rfam family "Clostridiales-1 RNA". Lineage: Bacteria; Bacillati; Bacillota; Clostridia; Lachnospirales; Lachnospiraceae. The record is from Rfam by way of RNAcentral.